CCUACGGGAGGCAGCAGUGGGGAAUAUUGGGCAAUGGGCGCAAGCCUGACCCAGCAACGCCGCGUGAAGGAAGAAGGCUUUCGGGUUGUAAACUUCUUUUCUCAGGGACGAAGCAAGUGACGGUACCUGAGGAAUAAGCCACGGCUAACUACGUGCCAGCAGCCGCGGUAAUACGUAGGUGGCAAGCGUUAUCCGGAUUUACUGGCUGUAAGGGGCGUGUAGGCGGGACUGCAAGUCAGAUGUGAAAACCACGGGCUCAACCUGUGGCCUGCAUUUGAAACUGUAGUUCUUGAGUACUGGAGAGGCAGACGGAAUUCCUGGUGUAGCGGUGAAAUGCGUAGAUAUUAGGAGGAACACCAGUGGCGAAGGCGGUCUGCUGGACAGCAACUGACGCUGAGGCGCGAAAGCGUGGGGAGCAAACAGGAUUAGAUACCCUUGUAUC
RNAcentral lists this ribosomal RNA (442 nucleotides) under uncultured bacterium. Its description in RNAcentral is "partial 16S ribosomal RNA". It matches the Rfam family "Bacterial small subunit ribosomal RNA", at positions 338 to 794 of the family's 1533-position model. The record is from RNAcentral.